Molecule: ribosomal RNA, 533 nt
Filed under: Bifidobacterium adolescentis
Lineage: Bacteria; Bacillati; Actinomycetota; Actinomycetes; Bifidobacteriales; Bifidobacteriaceae
Description: bacterial SSU rRNA
Rfam family: Bacterial small subunit ribosomal RNA
Source: RNAcentral
GUGGUAAUGCCGGAUGCUCCAGUUGGAUGCAUGUCCUUCUGGGAAAGAUUCAUCGGUAUGGGAUGGGGUCGCGUCCUAUCAGCUUGAUGGCGGGGUAACGGCCCACCAUGGCUUCGACGGGUAGCCGGCCUGAGAGGGCGACCGGCCACAUUGGGACUGAGAUACGGCCCAGACUCCUACGGGAGGCAGCAGUGGGGAAUAUUGCACAAUGGGCGCAAGCCUGAUGCAGCGACGCCGCGUGCGGGAUGACGGCCUUCGGGUUGUAAACCGCUUUUGACUGGGAGCAAGCCCUUCGGGGUGAGUGUACCUUUCGAAUAAGCACCGGCUAACUACGUGCCAGCAGCCGCGGUAAUACGUAGGGUGCAAGCGUUAUCCGGAAUUAUUGGGCGUAAAGGGCUCGUAGGCGGUUCGUCGCGUCCGGUGUGAAAGUCCAUCGCUUAACGGUGGAUCCGCGCCGGGUACGGGCGGGCUUGAGUGCGGUAGGGGAGACUGGAAUUCCCGGUGUAACGGUGGAAUGUGUAGAUAUCGGAAAA